Long non-coding RNA from Dromaius novaehollandiae (emu), 2200 nucleotides. NCBI's taxonomy places the organism in Eukaryota, Metazoa, Chordata, Aves, Casuariiformes, Dromaiidae. The record is from Ensembl.
CGGGGGCCCCCAAAGCCACCUCGGCGUUUGGGUUUGGUCACGCGCCGCUUUGGGGCACUCACCCGACAUCUCCAGCGCAGGGAUCCUCCCUCGCUCCCCGUAUCAGCAGCGCUGUGCUCCUCGCUGGGGCCUUCUGGUGUUUCAGUGCAUCAACGCAGCAUUGUUCAUGCUGAAAACAAAAAUUUUCAUGAGUAAAUGAGAGCAAAAUUGGCACAAGACCCUCACGGCUCUCCCCAGUGCCACAGUUCCCAGCCCCAGCACCUGCCCUGCAAUCCCCAACCUAGCAAACACUGGCCAGGACCCGGCUCUCUGCCGCGGAGGAGCCAGGGACCACAGCAGCUCCCCAAAAUGACCAGCCCGGCAGUGGCGGAGGGCUCUGGGGCACCCCGGAAGGCAAACCAUGGGCUCGAGGGCGCCCCGAAAGGCUCAGGGGGGCAUUUCUCCAUCUCCUACCCUCACCCUAGACCUCAGUCACGCACCGAGUCACGGCCCGUGGCUGGCUGCAUUGCCAGCGCACGGCUCCGCUGGGAAAGGGCGAUUCCAGGGCAGCAGCUUCUCCCAGCCGCCCUUCCCAGCUCCUAACKGCAGGGAAACCAAAGCGCUAGGAAAAACCUACCUGACUUCAGCUGCUGAGAACCAGCGAAGGGAAAGAGGGGACGAGCUGAGGUGGUUUGGGGGAGCUGCCCGCUCUGGUGCUACACACCAACGCUCGUGGCCACACGCACAGGCCCUGCAGGGAACCGGGCCUGGCGGGGGGGCAGCCCUGGCACGGGGAAUUGUUGGGGGGCAGCACAAGGGUAAGAAGCAGCAGGGCUUUGUUUUUCCCAUUUUUCAUUCCUUGCUUCACCCACCCAGGGCUGGCACCCGUCCAAGAGCAGAGGGUCACCCAAAGCCACUUCCCCAACAGUCUCACCUCACACUACGUGCUCCGGGGCGCACCUCUCUCGUCUCCCCCACCUCCUUGCCGGGCAUUCGACGAAGACUCCUAUGCAAAAGGACGCUCACGCCAACGAGGUGCCCUGGAAGCACAAACGGAGGAAGCUCUGCACACCUGCAUCGCUGCGACAGCUCCCACAAGCAGCACAGGCCGACCUGCUCCCCCAGGGGCUACUUACGGACUCAGCCUGGGCUCCCUCGACCUUGGAGUUCGGCUUUCCGCGUGGCCCUCGGCCCUUUCAGACUCCUNGUCUUGUCCAACGCUCCCUUUCCAGAGAGACACGGUGCUCCCGGGGGUCUUCUUGUCCCACUGUUCCCUUAGGUCCACAUUCYGUAAAAGUGGUACAGCAGUGACAUCUYRGUCACCUGAAAGAGUCAUUUUGGAGGCAAAAAYGUCACACCAGGGCAGCACACUCCUGGACCCUGACACUUCAGCUSUGYCRACCCGCCUUUCCCAAGCCUCUUUCCCCUCCCCUCCACGUCAGCGGAGAGGACUGGAGGAAGACGGGCUCGAGCGCGCAGGCGCACGCUGGCAGCACCUCCUCCAAGGACCAGAGAGGGAAGCUCUCCCCACCGCCACCUCCACAACGGCUCCCACAAGGAGGACGGGCCACCUGCUCCCGCCUGGGCUGCAGGGACUGAGYCCGCGCUCCUGCUGGCCCUCGCACAGCCCCGUGGGCUCCCUCCCUCCCCUUCCAGGGCGUCACCUUGCUCCCACAGGUCUGCAGGUCCCGCUGCUYGCUCGGCCCCGGAYGCUGGAAAGCGGGCGUAGCUGUCGCGUUACCUCUCAGGCCUSRCGGCUCYGCAGAGCUGCCGUCUCCCCRCACGUUUCUGUGCGCGAGCUGCACAGCUCUGGMRGCAGCGUGUCGCUCUGCACUGCRCAGCUCUUGCUCAUCUGCCACCUGGAAACCAGACGGACGCGGCAAUGAGACCUCCCGGGGCAGCASACCAAAGCCUGCUCUGCCCUUSCCACCCAGCCGGGAGACCAAAGUGCCUGGAGAACACGCUCAGACCCUCCCGGCACUGAUACGGGCAACGUCRCCGAGGGAAACCACUCCCUCGCACCCGUCCAAGAGCACAGCCUGACCCAAAGCCACUUCCCCAAGAGUCUCACCUCACGCUACGUGCUCCAGGACGCACCUCUCCUGACUCCCCCACCUCAGCGCUGGGCAUUUGACAACAACUCCUCUGCAAAAGGGCACUCACGCCAACGAGAUGCCCUGGAAGCACAAAAGGAGGAAGCUCUGCACACCUGCAUCGCUGC